UGCAAGUCGAGCGGACAGAUGGGAGCUUGCUCCCUGAUGUUAGCGGCGGACGGGUGAGUAACACGUGGGUAACCUGCCUGUAAGACUGGGAUAACUCCGGGAAACCGGGGCUAAUACCGGAUGGUUGUUUGAACCGCAUGGUUCAAACAUAAAAGGUGGCUUCGGCUACCACUUACAGAUGGACCCGCGGCGCAUUAGCUAGUUGGUGAGGUAACGGCUCACCAAGGCAACGAUGCGUAGCCGACCUGAGAGGGUGAUCGGCCACACUGGGACUGAGACACGGCCCAGACUCCUACGGGAGGCAGCAGUAGGGAAUCUUCCGCAAUGGACGAAAGUCUGACGGAGCAACGCCGCGUGAGUGAUGAAGGUUUUCGGAUCGUAAAGCUCUGUUGUUAGGGAAGAACAAGUACCGUUCGAAUAGGGCGGUACCUUGACGGUACCUAACCAGAAAGCCACGGCUAACUACGUGCCAGCAGCCGCGGUAAUACGUAGGUGGCAAGCGUUGUCCGGAAUUAUUGGGCGUAAAGGGCUCGCAGGCGGUUUCUUAAGUCUGAUGUGAAAGCCCCCGGCUCAACCGGGGAGGGUCAUUGGAAACUGGGGAACUUGAGUGCAGAAGAGGAGAGUGGAAUUCCACGUGUAGCGGUGAAAUGCGUAGAGAUGUGGAGGAACACCAGUGGCGAAGGCGACUCUCUGGUCUGUAACUGACGCUGAGGAGCGAAAGCGUGGGGAGCGAACAGGAUUAGAUACCCUGGUAGUCCACGCCGUAAACGAUGAGUGCUAAGUGUUAGGGGGU
This 793-nucleotide ribosomal RNA is filed under the name Bacillus subtilis. RNAcentral describes it as "bacterial SSU rRNA". It matches the Rfam family "Bacterial small subunit ribosomal RNA", at positions 56 to 831 of the family's 1533-position model. The record is from RNAcentral. Lineage: Bacteria; Bacillati; Bacillota; Bacilli; Caryophanales; Bacillaceae.